CUCUCCAGAUGUACCAUUUGGCACAUUAAGCAAGUCUUUUCUUAGAAGGGGAACCUAUGGUUUUGCCGUGUAAUGCAAAACACCAAUGGAAUCACUACAUAAGCAAAAUGCCAGUAAUGGUAUAGUGGUCCAGCCACAAACAUUGGGAAUUGUGGCCGUACUCUCUCAUCAGCCAGCCAGAUACACUGAAUUCCAAGGAGCGAGUGAAUGGCUUGUGCUCCCGUGGCAGUCCUGCUUCUUGCUCCAUUAGACCAGUCUGAAACAUGUGAGGUCCUGAGUUCUCCAGCUUCUUCUGCAAAUGACCCAGAGCAAAACAUGGCUGUGAAGGUUUACAACUACCCUUGGAGUUGAAGUGGAGAGAGUCACCACCGUGUUGCUGAGAGCUCUGCUAUGCUGAUAGAGCAUGGAGGGGAAACAGGAUAUGUGUUCAAGCUACAUGGAUUAGAGCUAGUAAGAUGUUGGUCUAAGCCACAAGAGUUUUGGAGACCGGAAAUACUUGAUUUCAGUAGUUGAAUUUAAAGUUAUCUGAAGGUAAAUAUCUCUUAUCUAGACGGUGUGUAAAUUGUGUAUUCAUCUGAUUUCCUUUCCUUACUGGAUAUCAUUUUCCCUUGGUGAGUUGUUCGUUUGGCUUCCUAAGCAGAACUAGACAAACUCCCAAAUCACUUCAUGCUUUCAGUGAGCUGUGUCACCUUUCUCUUUUUUAUUUUCUUUAAUCAUUCUUUUCAUGCUUCUGGAACAAUUGAGCAGUAGUAUUGCGAAAGUUUUACUAUCAUCCUCUGCAUGCUUGUCUCAAACUUCAUACCUUAAAAUUAAUGUGUUUGAUAUUCAACUAUCAUCUCUCUAAUAAUGCAUGCUUCAGGGUUUGUGAUUUCUAAUGUGACUGCAAACAUUAAAUUUCUAAUGAUACCUUGUGUUGAAUUAAGGGAUGCAAACACUAGAAUUGUGAAUACUACUAGAGUUAUGUACCCUUACCAGCCUGGGGAGUUGUAACCUACUGCCGUAAAUUCUUAUUCACAUUUCCCAGAGAUAAUAUGUUGGCCAAAUCCUUUAUUAAAUGGCUAUUGUCUGUUGCUAAAUCAUUUGUGUCGAGCCCAAAGCUGACUAAUGAUAGUCCAAGUUUUCAAAGAGUAUGUGU
Molecule: long non-coding RNA, 1135 nt
Organism: Strigops habroptila (Kakapo)
Lineage: Eukaryota; Metazoa; Chordata; Aves; Psittaciformes; Psittacidae
Exons: 4
Source: RefSeq, a predicted model, not a curated record